AUUAUUUCAGAUUACAUACUAACCAUAUAUAAAACUAUAGAAGGGGCAGACAAAUCAAGGAUAUGUGGAUCUUUUACAUUAAGAAACCUUAUAAUGAAAGACUACUUAAUAUUAAUACUAUUAAUAGGAUACAUUAUAUAUGUAUCUGAUACAGUGUAUAUAAACAUAGAUGGCUAUAUAAGGUAUGAUGGGGGCGGAUACCAGUUACUAGGGGCGGAGUCAAGACUAGCAUUCCAGUUCCGUUAUUGCAAUGAAAGGGGUUUGUUGCUGUACCAAGCAGGGGGAGACAAUUUUUUUGCUGUUGGCGUUUACAAGAAGAAAAUUUAUUUGGAAUGGAAAAUUCAGAAUCAAGUUAUCGAGCUUGAGAUAGGAAAUGGAGAUCUGGUAUCAAACACAACCUACAUUGUUGAAAUAAUUGGUUUACAGAGUCGUCAGUUCACUCGGGCAACGAUUAACGGCAACGUUGCUCUGGUACAGUACCUGGUACAACUGGACCAACAACUAGAUUUAUCGUCUCUAGUAGGAGAGUUGUACAUUGGUGGAUAUCGCU
Patella vulgata (common limpet) is the source of this 550-nucleotide long non-coding RNA. RefSeq lists it as uncharacterized. The transcript is spliced from 3 exons. NCBI's taxonomy places the organism in Eukaryota, Metazoa, Mollusca, Gastropoda, Patellidae. The record is from RefSeq and is a predicted model, not a curated record.